AAUAAGAAAAAAGACAAUGUAGCAGAAUAUCUGGGACACAGCUAAAGCAGUGUUUAGAGGGAAAUUUAGAGCACUAAAUAUCCACAGGAGAGAGCAGGAAAGAUCUAAAAUCAACAACCUAAAAUUACAAUUAAAAGAACUAGAGAAACAAGAUCAAACAAAUUCGGUCGGUGGCGCUUCGCUCUGUCCCGAGCCAGCAUGAUCCGCUUGGCCCCCAGCGCAUCUCCUGGAAGAGCCCACUCACCCUGGACGAGCUCUUCGGUAGCCUCAGACUGUCCUUGAAGAGGAUGACUGAAACAUUAUGGGCCACGCGCUGUGUGUCUGCUCUCGGGGAACUGUCAUCAUUGACAAUAAGCGCUACCUCUUCAUCCAGAAACUGGGGGAGGGUGGGUUCAGCUAUGUGGACCUAGUGGAAGGGUUACAUGAUGGACACUUCUACGCCCUGAAGCGAAUCCUGUGUCAGGAGCAGCAGGACCGAGAGGAGGCCCAGCGAGAAGCCGACAUGCAUCGCCUUUUCAGUCACCCCAACAUCCUUCGCCUGGUGGCUUACUGUCUGAGGGAGCGGGGUGCUAAGCAUGAGGCCUGGCUGCUGCUACCGUUCUUCAAGAGGGGUACGCUGUGGAAUGAGAUAGAAAGGCUGAAGGACAAAGGCAACUUCCUGACCGAGGAUCAAAUCCUUUGGCUGCUGCUGGGGAUCUGCAGAGGCCUUGAGGCCAUUCAUGCCAAGGGUUAUGCCCACAGGGACUUGAAGCCCACCAAUAUAUUGCUCGGAGAUGAGGGGCAGCCAGUUUUAAUGGACUUGGGUUCUAUGAAUCAAGCAUGCAUCACUGUGGAGGGCUCCCGCCAGGCUCUGACCCUGCAGGACUGGGCAGCCCAGCGGUGCACCAUCUCCUACCGAGCCCCAGAGCUCUUCUCUGUGCAGAGUCACUGUGUCAUCGAUGAGCGGACUGAUGUCUGGUCCCUAGGCUGCGUGCUAUAUGCCAUGACGUUUGGAGAAGGCCCUUAUGACAUGGUGUUCCAAAAGGGUGACAGUGUGGCCCUUGCUGUGCAGAACCAACUCAGCAUCCCACAAAGCCCCAGGCAUUCUUCAGCAUUGCGGCAGCUCCUGGCCUCGAUGAUGACUGUGGACCCGCAUCAGCGUCCUCACAUUCCUCUCCUUCUCAGUCAGCUGGCAUUGGAAUUUCUACCCAUUCCAUCCAGGACUGCUCUUACACUUGGGGGUAGCGGGGUCAGGACAAUCAUCUUAGUCCUGCAUCUGCUCUUCUGCUUUCUUCCAAGAGCAAAACCUGGGCAAGGGGCCUUACUGAGUGGGAGUGGGUGGGGGUUGGGAAAAGGGAAAUGGUGGGAUACGGAGCAUGGCUCUGAGCAGGACUGUUGA
Cercocebus atys (sooty mangabey) is the source of this 1378-nucleotide RNA transcript. It is a transcript of the gene named serine/threonine-protein kinase 16 pseudogene, with no coding region annotated. The transcript has a single exon. The record is from RefSeq and is a predicted model, not a curated record. NCBI's taxonomy places the organism in Eukaryota, Metazoa, Chordata, Mammalia, Primates, Cercopithecidae.